RNAcentral lists this transfer RNA (80 nucleotides) under Bradyrhizobium sp. Its description in RNAcentral is "tRNA-Arg". It matches the Rfam family "tRNA". Rfam says of the family: Transfer RNA (tRNA) molecules are approximately 80 nucleotides in length. Their secondary structure includes four short double-helical elements and three loops (D, anti-codon, and T loops). Further hydrogen bonds mediate the characteristic L-shaped molecular structure. tRNAs have two regions of fundamental functional importance: the anti-codon, which is responsible for specific mRNA codon recognition, and the 3' end, to which the tRNAs corresponding amino acid is attached (by aminoacyl-tRNA synthetases). tRNAs cope with the degeneracy of the genetic code in two manners: having more than one tRNA (with a specific anti-codon) for a particular amino acid; and 'wobble' base-pairing, i.e. permitting non-standard base-pairing at the 3rd anti-codon position. Lineage: Bacteria; Pseudomonadati; Pseudomonadota; Alphaproteobacteria; Hyphomicrobiales; Nitrobacteraceae. The record is from RNAcentral.
GCGCCCGUAGCUCAGCUGGAUAGAGCACCAGACUACGAAUCCAGGGGGUCUCAGGAGUUCGAAUCUCUUCGGGCGCGCCA